AUGUAAUCGUGGUCACAUUUGUAUUGAAAUGUAAAAACCUGGAAUCAACUUGUUCACCUAAAGAGAUUUUUUUUAAAAAUAUAAACAUAAAAAAAAUUACUGCAAAAACAAAAAAGGAAAUAUAAAUAUGUUCCAUUUGGAAUCUGGAAUUUAUUUGUGACUACAGGAAUUUUGGUUGUUCGAUUCCUCUUAUGUCUGAAAAUCUGCUUCCCAAAAUGUUCUAAUCUCCAUUUUGUUUUAAAUUGAUGUAGACUGAAAUUUCAGCCAAGCACCAGAAUGAUACAGACGAUUCUCAAGCUUAUUUUGUUGCUCCAGCUCUUGAUUCUUCCAGCCUUCCGAGUACCCUCAAUGAUAUUCCCUUUGAGCCUGUGCAAGUGAGAGAAAUAGAUACUGGACUGACUGAAACUUCAGCCAAGCAGGAUGAUACAGACGACUCUCAAGCUUAUGUUGUUGCUCCAGCUCUUGGUUUUUCCAGCCUUCCAAGUACCCUCAAUGAUAUUCGCUGUGUACCUGUGCUAGUGAGAAGAAAAGUUAUUGAAUUGGCUGAAAACCAAAGAGCAUGGGCACCUGAAGAUUAUCAGGAGCCACCCUGGAAUGUGAACCAAGCUGACCAGUAUCUCAAAGUCUCUGAAUGUUACAAAGACUCCGUGUCUACUUCUAUUUCUUCUAAUGGAAAUCGUAAUAUUGAAAGCCUGGUAAAAUCCAAGUCUUGUUCUCCAAGGAUUCAUCACAGCAUCAGUUCCAAGCAUUCUAGUACAAAUCAGACCUCAAGAGACUUACGUUGUCAAAGUCCAAAAUCCUACGUCAAGCAAGAAUGUAGCUCAAGAUCUUUUGGCAAGCGAGAGCUGUCCACUGAAAGACAGGACAGAAGUUCAAAAUUAUCCUGUAGGCGAGAACGUAGUUCAGGAUCUUCCCUCAAACAAGAAGUCUCUCCUCAAAGAGAAAAGCAUACAUCAAAAUCUCCUUACAGUCAAAAACAGUCUUCUCAGAAACGGGACCGUAACCCAAAAACCUCUCUCAUGCAAGAACAUAGUGUGAAAUCAACGCACAAGCAAAAGCAUAGUUCAAGUUCUCCAAAAAUGAAAGAAAAUUCAAAAUCUCAGAAGCUGGAUAGGUGGAAAAAGAAAAAGUCAGGAAGAAGUUGUUGCUGCCAUUGUAAUUACCAUUGUCAACAGAGCUGCAGUCCGUCCCGAGAGAGUUUGUGGCACAGAUGUUGCUCUCCUUCUUACUUAACUUGCAAAAUAGAACACCUCAAUGUUUCCAAAGAAAUAGGAAAUGUCUAUGGAAUGCCAUACCACCUUUCUCCAGAGAAGUCCAUUGCGAAUAAAAAGGAAAUAAGAGAGAGCAGACAAGUGGUGGAACCUAAGAUACCGGUAAUUGAAAAGAAAAGAAAAAGAGCAAAAUCAAGGACUGGAAGAAAACCUUUGAAGUCAUCAACCAAAAAGAAGAGGACAAGCUCUCCUUGCCACCUUAAUGCUGAAGAAGAAACUUCAGUCCCAUCCUGGACUCCUAAAGACCGAUCUGCAGCAGUGCUGGCAAGAAAAGAAGAGCUUGAACAGGCCUACCUGCAGGUCCUUCUCAACUUUGGAGCAAUAGCCAUCAUGCUGGUGGAAAAGGAACCCUGCAUGAUAGAAGCAAUGAGCUCAGCACUACGAACUAACCUGAGAAAGAUUGGUAACUACUAUGAAUGCCUGCUAAAGAACUACAUUGACAGCUUAACUGAAGCCAAUUGAGAAGACCUCACAUUGGCAAAUCUACCUACUGUACCUGAAGCCUUUUCUAAGACAGUUAAUGGGAGGAAGCUUUCUGUUCUUCAGGCCCGGGAUAAAUGAUGGCCUUGGAGAAAGCCUCCUUUUGGUCGUAGAGCUGAGAAACCACUUUCUCCUGCAACAGCCGCAAGGCGCAUAAGUGACAGCUAGAAGAUUUGAAAGUAUUAUUGCAAUAUCAAUCCAAGGACUUUGGAAGAGAAAAUUGGGAGGAGGGAGGCACAAAGGAUAAACAGAGGAGUGGGAUGCCUAACGAAUUCUGAAUGGCUUUGGUAACUCAGGUCAGGUGGUAACUGGAAUAGGAGUAGAAUCUACUAAGUUUUAUACUUUGAGUUACAUGGAAGCAUCGCAUGUUCUUGGUAAGGGGGAAGAAGUUCUUAAUUUAGAUUAUUAAAAAUAUUGUUGAGCAGUUUUGAAUGUUGGACUUUGUGCAGAAGCAAGCUGGAGAAGGUCCCUGUUCUGUGUGGUCCAGUAAUACUCAAGAGCAGCCCUGAUGAAAAUAGUAUUUUCUCCUUUCAAAUCUAUGAAGUAAAUUUUUUUUUAAAAGAAUAAAAUCAUUUUGAAACAACUUAUAUCUCA
Molecule: long non-coding RNA, 2345 nt
Filed under: Notechis scutatus (mainland tiger snake)
Lineage: Eukaryota; Metazoa; Chordata; Lepidosauria; Squamata; Elapidae
Description: lncRNA (ENSNSUG00000016626.1)
Source: RNAcentral